GGGUCAGUAGGUUGGUCGUGCCACCGGUACGUACUGGUCUCACUGAUUCCUCCUUCCUGAAGAACCGUAAUGCCAUUAAUUUGGUGUUGCGGGGAAACAGGACUGUUACUUUGAAAAAAUUUGAGUGUUUAAAGCAAGCUAACGCUUGAAUACAUUAGCAUGGAAUAAUGAAAUAGGACGAUCGAUCCUAUUUUGUUGGUUUCUAGGAUUGACGUA
Molecule: ribosomal RNA, 216 nt
Filed under: Glomeromycotina sp.
Lineage: Eukaryota; Fungi; Glomeromycota
Description: partial small subunit ribosomal RNA
Rfam family: Eukaryotic small subunit ribosomal RNA (bases 40-216)
Source: RNAcentral